AAAAAAAAGAGAAAAAAAAGAGAAAAGAAAAACAAAAGAGAAAAAUGCACUUGCCGAGACUUAAGACUCUAACACAUAUAAAAUGCUCGAAAAAUUUGAGUAGAAAAAGAUACAAAAGAGUGAAAUUAACCCCCAGAGUAUACGUGAUGCACGAGAAAAAGAGAAAGAAAAAUCACACAACAUGACUACCGAGUUCAAAACCCUUUGUUAUCCAUUUUUUU
This 221-nucleotide long non-coding RNA is filed under the name Lathyrus oleraceus (garden pea). RNAcentral's name for it is "Pisum sativum (pea) long non-coding RNA (PSAT_LNC038376)". The record is from RNAcentral. Lineage: Eukaryota; Viridiplantae; Streptophyta; Magnoliopsida; Fabales; Fabaceae.